GACGAACGCUGGCGGCGUGCUUAACACAUGCAAGUCGAACGGAAAGGCUCCAGCUUGCUGGAGUACUCGAGUGGCGAACGGGUGAGUAACACGUGGGUAAUCUGCCCUGCACUCUGGGAUAAGCCUGGGAAACUGGGUCUAAUACUGGAUAUGACCUUUCUCCUUAUGGGGUUUGGUGGAAAGUUUUUCGGUGUAGGAUGAGCCCGCGGCCUAUCAGCUUGUUAGUGGGGUGAUGGCCUACCAAGGCGACGACGGGUAGCCGGCCUGAGAGGGUGAUCGGCCACAUUGGGACUGAGAUACGGCCCAGACUCCUACGGGAGGCAGCAGUGGGGAAUAUUGCACAAUGGGCGGAAGCCUGAUGCAGCGACGCCGCGUGAGGGAUGACGGCCUUCGGGUUGUAAACCUCUUUCAGCAGGGACGAAGCGUAAGUGACGGUACCUGCAGAAGAAGCACCGGCUAACUAUGUG
RNAcentral lists this ribosomal RNA (467 nucleotides) under uncultured bacterium. RNAcentral describes it as "partial 16S ribosomal RNA". It matches the Rfam family "Bacterial small subunit ribosomal RNA", at positions 28 to 507 of the family's 1533-position model. The record is from RNAcentral.